Molecule: long non-coding RNA, 374 nt
Filed under: Lactuca sativa (garden lettuce)
Lineage: Eukaryota; Viridiplantae; Streptophyta; Magnoliopsida; Asterales; Asteraceae
Description: long non-coding RNA (LSAT_LNC001837)
Source: RNAcentral
UCCGAUGUAUGGUACUCAAACCAUAACAUCACUCCUCAAUCCGCUCCGAUGUUAUGGUUCGAGAUGUAAGGUACUCGAACCAUAACAUCGCUCCUCAAUCCGCUCUGAUGUAUGGUACUCGAACCAUAACGUCACCCCUUAAUCCGCUCCUUAGAACCUCCAGAAUACUCCCUGUAUCAAGUAUGGGUCCUCUGCUUUCAGUAGUACGGGCCCAUAGUACCUGCCACAUCUACCCAUACUUUCCACACGGACUAUCCCGGAGCUCCUAAGAAGCUGCUCGACCUACUCUUUCACCAAUCCCAUCACGCGUGCUCGCUCCCCAGCGAAAUUCUCUACUCUGCCAGCACACUCAUCUGGCUAAGAUUACUCCCUAG